CAAAGAUGGCCGAUGGCUGGCUCGAAAGUCCGCGGAGUUAACUUUUCAGCAAAAAAAAACAUGCUCCGAAUGGGUUGCAGCUUCCCGUCGCCCUUGGGUUUUUUGUCCUUGUCGUUUAGUCGAUGAACCUGGUGAAGGUCCGACUUGCUGGAUUUCAAUCUGUCACCAGACAAAAUGAAACAGAAAUUUUUUUCCCAGGUGGUUCUCUCUCUUCUGGUUUUAAAGGGAUCUUGCUGUCCCGGGCCACACGUGCACACAGCUCAGGGUAAUCCAGACAAACGGCACGCAGCAACCAGCGAAGGCCCCGUAGAGUCUUCCUGUCUGACCAGC
Long non-coding RNA from Thalassophryne amazonica, 330 nucleotides. RefSeq lists it as uncharacterized. The transcript has 3 exons. Lineage: Eukaryota; Metazoa; Chordata; Actinopteri; Batrachoidiformes; Batrachoididae. The record is from RefSeq and is a predicted model, not a curated record.